This 73-nucleotide transfer RNA is filed under the name Camelus bactrianus (Bactrian camel). It matches the Rfam family "tRNA". From Rfam's summary of the family: Transfer RNA (tRNA) molecules are approximately 80 nucleotides in length. The record is from Rfam by way of RNAcentral. RNAcentral also lists the same sequence under 1 other name. Lineage: Eukaryota; Metazoa; Chordata; Mammalia; Artiodactyla; Camelidae.
GAGGGUAUAGCUCAAGUGGUAGAGCACAUGCUUAGCAUGCAUGAGGUCCUAAGUUCAAUCCCCAGUACCUCCU